AGAGUUUGAUCAUGGCUCAGGACGAACGCUGGCGGCGUGCUUAACACAUGCAAGUCGAACGAGAUCCACGGUGUAGCAAUACACCUGAAGAUCUAGUGGCGAACGGGUGCGUAACACGUGAGGAACUUGUCCCGGUCUCUGGGAUAACAGUUGGAAACGACUGCUAAUACCGGAUGACGUCGGAGCAUCGCAUGGUGCGCUGACGAAAGGGUUACUGGAUCGGGAGAGCCUCGCGGCCUAUCAGCUUGUUGGUGGGGUAACGGCCCACCAAGGCAUCGACGGGUAGCUGGUCUGAGAGGAUGAUCAGCCACACUGGGACUGAGACACGGCCCAGACUCCUACGGGAGGCAGCAGUGGGGAAUCUUGCGCAAUGGGCGAAAGCCUGACGCAGCAACGCCGCGUGCGGGAUGAAGGCUCUCGGGUUGUAAACCGCUUUCAGCAGGAACGAAAAUGACGGUACUGCAGAAGAA
Molecule: ribosomal RNA, 470 nt
Filed under: uncultured Acidimicrobiales bacterium
Lineage: Bacteria; Bacillati; Actinomycetota; Acidimicrobiia; Acidimicrobiales
Description: bacterial SSU rRNA
Rfam family: Bacterial small subunit ribosomal RNA
Source: RNAcentral